AUUGAACGCUGGCGGCAGGCCUAACACAUGCAAGUCGAGCGGAUGAAGGGAGCUUGCUCCUGGAUUCAGCGGCGGACGGGUGAGUAAUGCCUAGGAAUCUGCCUGGCAGUGGGGGAUAACGUCCGGAAACGGGCGCUAAUACCGCAUACGUCCUGAGGGAGAAAGUGGGGGAUCUUCGGACCUCACGCUAUCAGAUGAGCCUAGGUCGGAUUAGCUAGUUGGUGGGGUAAAGGCCUACCAAGGCGACGAUCCGUAACUGGUCUGAGAGGAUGAUCAGUCACACUGGAACUGAGACACGGUCCAGACUCCUACGGGAGGCAGCAGUGGGGAAUAUUGGACAAAGGGCGAAAGCCUGAUCCAGCCAUGCCGCGUGUGUGAAGAAGGUCUUCGGAUUGUAAAGCACUUUAAGUUGGGAGGAAGGGCAGUAAGUUAAUACCUUGCUGUUUUGACGUUACCAACAGAAUAAGCACCGGCUAACUUCGUG
RNAcentral lists this ribosomal RNA (484 nucleotides) under uncultured bacterium. RNAcentral describes it as "partial 16S ribosomal RNA". It matches the Rfam family "Bacterial small subunit ribosomal RNA", at positions 30 to 507 of the family's 1533-position model. The record is from RNAcentral.